UACGUAGGGUGCAAGCGUUGUCCGGAAUUAUUGGGCGUAAAGAGUUCGUAGGCGGUUUGUCGCGUCCGUUGUGAAAGCUUGGGGCUCAACCCCAAGUCUGCAGUGGAUACGGGCAGACUAGAGUCAGGUAGGGGAGAACGGAAUUCCUGGUGUAGCGGUGAAAUGCGCAGAUAUCAGGAGGAACACUGGUGGCGAAGGCGGUUCUCUGGGCCCGUACUGACGCUGAGGAACGAAAGCGUGGGGAGCGAACAGG
Molecule: ribosomal RNA, 253 nt
Filed under: uncultured bacterium
Lineage: Bacteria
Description: partial 16S ribosomal RNA
Rfam family: Bacterial small subunit ribosomal RNA
Source: RNAcentral